This 492-nucleotide ribosomal RNA is filed under the name uncultured bacterium. Its description in RNAcentral is "partial 16S ribosomal RNA". It matches the Rfam family "Bacterial small subunit ribosomal RNA", at positions 29 to 507 of the family's 1533-position model. The record is from RNAcentral.
AGUGAACGCUGGCGGUAGGCCUAACACAUGCAAGUCGAACGGCAGCACAGUAAGAGCUUGCUCUUACGGGUGGCGAGUGGCGGACGGGUGAGGCAUACAUCGGAAUCUACUUUUUCGUGGGGGAUAACGUAGGGAAACGUACGCUAAUACCGCAUACGACCUACGGGUGAAAGCAGGGGAGCUUCGGGGCUUGCGCUAUUGAAUGAGCCGGUGUGGGAUUAGCUAGUUGGCGGGGUAAAGGCCCAACAAGGCGACGAUCCGUAGCUGGUCUGAGAGGAUGAUCAGCCACACUGGAACUGAGACACGGUCCAGACUCCUACGGGAGGCAGCAGUGGGGAAUAUUGGACAAUGGGCGCAAGCCUGAUCCAGCCAUACCGCGUGGGUGAAGAAGGCCUUCGGGUUGUAAAGCCCUUUUGUUGGGAAAGAAAAGCAGCAGGUUAAUACCCCGCUGUUCUGACGGUACCCAAAGAAUAAGCACCGGCUAACUUCGUG